CAGCCGUAAACUAUGCGCGUUAGGUGUAUCGGUGACCACGAGUUACCGAGGUGCCGAGGGAAACCGUGAAACGUGCCGCCUGGGAAGUACGGUCGCAAGGCUGAAACUUAAAGGAAUUGGCGGGGGAGCACCGCAACGGGAGGAGCGUGCGGUUUAAUUGGAUUCAACACCGGGAAGCUCACCGGAUAAGACAGCGGAAUGAUUGCCGGGCUGAAGACUCUGCAUGACUAGCUGAGAGGAGGUGCAUGGCGUAGACGUCU
Molecule: ribosomal RNA, 260 nt
Filed under: uncultured archaeon
Lineage: Archaea
Description: partial 16S ribosomal RNA
Rfam family: Archaeal small subunit ribosomal RNA
Source: RNAcentral